AAAGAAGUAUAUGUAUUUUUGUAUAUCGGGUUGUCCGAUAAAGAAGAAUAUCAGCUUGUCUGAUAAAGAAGUUUAAUGGAUUAUGUUAUCCAUGUAGCGAGCAGUAGCUUCGUGCUAAGUGAUUAGCAAAUGUUUGGUAAAUGCAUGGCAUUCAUAAAUUCAUGCAUUAUUUAGGGAUAUCAGACUUGUCUGAUAAACAAGGAUAUUGGACUUGUCCAAUAAAGAAGAAUAUCAAUGGUAAGUUCCUUGAUAAAGAAGAUGGUACCACAUGCAUUAGUCGUGUCUAGGUUGGCAUGACAUUGAAUGUUUGGCAUUAGUCGCAUUUGAGUAAAUGUGCAAUUAUGUGUUAUGUGUUAUGUGAGUUCUUUGUGUUGUCCGAAACGACGUGAAACUAUCUGGUGGUGUAUUUGUGAGUAUGUGUUAUCUGGUGUAUUGCUUAUUGAGGUAUGUGUGUGAGUUAGUAAUAC
RNAcentral lists this long non-coding RNA (467 nucleotides) under Trifolium pratense (red clover). RNAcentral's name for it is "long non-coding RNA (TPRA_LNC009949)". The record is from RNAcentral. Lineage: Eukaryota; Viridiplantae; Streptophyta; Magnoliopsida; Fabales; Fabaceae.